This 301-nucleotide ribosomal RNA is filed under the name uncultured bacterium. RNAcentral describes it as "partial 16S ribosomal RNA". It matches the Rfam family "Bacterial small subunit ribosomal RNA", at positions 509 to 807 of the family's 1533-position model. The record is from RNAcentral.
CAGUCGCCGCGGUAAUACGAAGGGUGCAAGCGUUACUCGGAAUUACUGGGCGUAAAGCGUGUGUAGGUGGUUGUUUAAGUCUGUCGUGAAAGCCCUGGGCUCAACCUGGGAAUUGCGAUGGAUACUGGGAGACUAGAGUGCGGUAGAGGAUAGUGGAAUUUCCGGUGUAGCAGUGAAAUGCGUAGAGAUCGGAAGGAACAUCUGUGGCGAAGGCGACUAUCUGGGCCAACACUGACACUGAGACACGAAAGCGUGGGGAGCAAACAGGAUUAGAGACCCGAGUAGUCCCUGUCUCUUAUAC